UUUAAUUCGAUGAUACGCGAGGAACCUUACCUGGGCUAGAAUGCUGGUGGACCGUGGGUGAAAGCUCACUUUGUAGCAAUACACCGCCAGUAAGGUGCUGCAUGGCUGUCGUCAGCUCGUGCCGUGAGGUGUUGGGUUAAGUCCCGCAACGAGCGCAACCCCCAUCACUAGUUGCCAUCAGGUAACGCUGGGAACUCUAGUGAAACUGCCGUCGUAAGACGUGAGGAAGGAGGGGAUGAUGUCAAGUCAUCAUGGCCUUUAUGCCCAGGGCUACACACGUGCUACAAUGGGGCGUACAAAGGGCUGCAACAUAGUGAUAUGAAGCUAAUCCCAAAAAACGCCUCUCAGUUCAGAUUGGAGUCUGCAACUCGACUCCAUGAAGCUGAAUCGCUAGUAUUGGUAUAUCAGCAAUGAUA
RNAcentral lists this ribosomal RNA (416 nucleotides) under uncultured Terrimonas sp. RNAcentral's name for it is "bacterial SSU rRNA". It matches the Rfam family "Bacterial small subunit ribosomal RNA", at positions 945 to 1359 of the family's 1533-position model. The record is from RNAcentral. Lineage: Bacteria; Pseudomonadati; Bacteroidota; Chitinophagia; Chitinophagales; Chitinophagaceae.